This 253-nucleotide ribosomal RNA is filed under the name uncultured bacterium. RNAcentral's name for it is "partial 16S ribosomal RNA". It matches the Rfam family "Bacterial small subunit ribosomal RNA", at positions 524 to 776 of the family's 1533-position model. The record is from RNAcentral.
AACGUAGGACGCGAGCGUUAUCCGGAGUUACUGGGCGUAAAGGGUGGGCAGGCGGCCGUGUCAGAUGGGUGUGAAGUCUCCCGGCUCAACCGGGAGGGGCCACUCGUGACUGCACGGCUGGAGGGCAGCAGAGGCGCGUGGAAUUCCGGGUGGAGUGGUGAAAUGCGUAGAGAUCCGGAGGAACACCAGAGGCGAAGGCGGCGCGCUGGGCUGCACCUGACGCUGAACCACGAAAGCCAGGGUAGCGAACGGG